CAGAACGAUGAGAAAGAAGGCGCGACGGAGGCGUGGUCGAACGUCGAGAUCAACGGCGCGACGGAGGCUGAGUUCGAACGUCGAGAUCGACGGCCGGCGGACUGCGAACCUGAUGAACGAGGAAGCGAAGGGCGAGAUUGAACGAGAUAGAAAGCGAGAGUGCGAGAAAGAAGAUGAACAGUGCAAAAUCAAGAUGAACAGUGAGUGAAUGUUUUAAAAAACCUAAUCUGAUGCAUCCUUAAAACGUAGUCGUUUUCUGUUUUCGAUUUUUUUUUUCAAACUCGCGAAAUCGGAACCAAACUCGCGAUUUUAGGCUAGUUUAGCGAGUCAACAACCGAGUCUACCGAUCCUACUCUAAAAACGAGUUUGCUUACGAGUUAACUCGAAAGCAUAGUCUGAACUCGUAAACUCGACCGAGUUAACGAGUUAACUCGCGUUUUCGAUAACCUUGGGUGAGAGGCUGAGAGGUAAAGAAAAGUGUUUACCGCUUGAACUGUGGCGAAUGAGAACUGUGACGAGAGCCUUCGAUGAUGGAGACGAAAGAAACGUUCUCUUGAGGGUACGCAAAUGAGAAAUGUGGCGGAUGAAUGGUUGAAUGAACGACGAAUGGUAGAGAGUGAAGAAGAGAAGAAAAGAGGAAGAAAGUGAACGACGGUCUAUUAGGUCGAACGAGAGUGAGAGGGAAAUGGGAAAUGAGAGUGAGAGGGACGAAGUGAGAAGGACCGAGAGGGAAAUGAAAAAAAAAAAAAAAAAGAGAGAUACUACGACGAAUUUCUAAAUAUCAGUCAUAAGACAUUAAAAAUUUUAUGACAAGUGUCCACAAAACUAUGUCAUAAUAUGUCUUAAACUUAUUUACAAAUUUACCACCACGUUUCAUAUUAUGACGGAUAUAUAAAACUGCGUUAUAAUAUGACCUAUUAUGAUAGAUAAUUUUUAUCCGUCAUAAUAAGGUCGUCAUAAAAUGCUAUUUUUCUACUAGUGUAU
This 984-nucleotide long non-coding RNA is filed under the name Vigna radiata. RNAcentral describes it as "long non-coding RNA (VRAD_LNC005152)". The record is from RNAcentral. Lineage: Eukaryota; Viridiplantae; Streptophyta; Magnoliopsida; Fabales; Fabaceae.